GUAUUAGAGCUUAGGAGUCUGGAGGAAGAUGGAUUAAGUUUCCCUCCUGUCCAUGAUUCCGAGACCCAAACUAUUCCCUCAGAAAUAAGCAGAGAAGACAGAAACUGGCCGUCUGCAUGGUAACCCAUUAGAGGAAAUGCUUCCCAUGGCCCCUUCUUUCCAUAUCAGCCCACCAACUGCACAUCUUCUAUAGUACAUGCUUGACACAGCUUCCAUGAACACUCAGAUUUCUAUGGAUUGCAGUGAAGGAUAUGGUGUGUGCAUGUCAUCUGCCAUCGUGGGGAGUGAGCUUUAGAGAUGGAGAAGGAGAAAGAAGGUGGGGCUUAAAGGGCACCAGGUGUGAUGUCAGAAGACGUGCUCUGUGAUGUUGACAUUGGAGUGAGGGUCCAUCUAUGCUGCUGCUCCUUGUCUGAAAUCUGGGCACAGUGAUGCCAUGGGACCCCCAUGAAGUUCUGGAAAUGGGGAGAACCGUGAAUUUCCACUUCUCUCUCCUCUGUGACAGCUCCAUUACCUGCCUUGGAAAGUCUUUUCUCUGGACCUGGAAGAAGAAGAUCAAAAAAUGGUGUCUUCUCCUACAAUUGUUCCUUGCAAUCAUGCAAUAAUGUCAUUGGAUCAAUAGAGCUGGUGUCCACUCUGCCAGGUUGUACCCUCCACCAAGUGUCCCAGAGCCCACCCACGCAGCAUCCUUCUGGUGGCUGAGGAAGGCUUAAUGUCCGCAUCCCCAAAGGAGUGCUAAAGCCAUCGCAAAAGAAAUAUCUGUUUUCUUGUAUGCAUCCUGCAGGCACUUUCCUAAGUGGUGCCAACCCACAGGCGGGGAAACUUGGUUGGCUGCCUUACUAAAUCUUCACCUGCCUGACCCCAGCCUGACAAUUCCUUA
This 877-nucleotide long non-coding RNA is filed under the name Mus spicilegus (steppe mouse). RNAcentral describes it as "lncRNA (ENSMSIG00000018452.1)". The record is from RNAcentral. Lineage: Eukaryota; Metazoa; Chordata; Mammalia; Rodentia; Muridae.